AACGCUGGCGGCAGGCCUAACACAUGCAAGUCGAGCGGUAACAUUUCUAGCUUGCUAGAAGAUGACGAGCGGCGGACGGGUGAGUAAUGCUUGGGAACAUGCCUUGAGGUGGGGGACAACAGUUGGAAACGACUGCUAAUACCGCAUAAUGUCUACGGACCAAAGGGGGCUUCGGCUCUCGCCUUUAGAUUGGCCCAAGUGGGAUUAGCUAGUUGGUGAGGUAAUGGCUCACCAAGGCGACGAUCCCUAGCUGGUUUGAGAGGAUGAUCAGCCACACUGGGACUGAGACACGGCCCAGACUCCUACGGGAGGCAGCAGUG
This 320-nucleotide ribosomal RNA is filed under the name Pseudoalteromonas tetraodonis. RNAcentral describes it as "bacterial SSU rRNA". It matches the Rfam family "Bacterial small subunit ribosomal RNA", at positions 32 to 356 of the family's 1533-position model. The record is from RNAcentral. Lineage: Bacteria; Pseudomonadati; Pseudomonadota; Gammaproteobacteria; Alteromonadales; Pseudoalteromonadaceae.